This 684-nucleotide ribosomal RNA is filed under the name Leptocylindrus danicus. Its description in RNAcentral is "partial Bacterial large subunit ribosomal RNA". It matches the Rfam family "Bacterial large subunit ribosomal RNA", at positions 1642 to 2307 of the family's 2925-position model. Lineage: Eukaryota; Bacillariophyta; Leptocylindrophyceae; Leptocylindrales; Leptocylindraceae. The record is from RNAcentral.
CCGUACCCUAAACCGACACAGGUAGUCAGGUUGAAAAUACUAAGGCGUUCGGGUGAACUGUGGUUAAGGAAUUCGGCAAAAUGCCCCCGUAACUUCGGGAGAAGGGGGGCCUCACGACGUGAAGGCCCAAGCGGCUGGAAGCGUUGUGGGGUCGCAGAGAAUAGAGGGAAGCGACUGUUUAUCAAAAACACAGGUCCGUGCGAAGACGGUUAAGUUGAUGUAUACGGACUGACGCCUGCCCGGUGCUGGAAGGUUAAGAGGAGUGCUUAGCGUAAGCGAAGGUAUGAAUUGAAGCCCCAGUAAACGGCGGCCGUAACUAUAACGGUCCUAAGGUAGCGAAAUUCCUUGUCAGGUAAGUUCUGACCCGCACGAAAGGCGUAACGAUUUGGGCACUGUCUCAACGAGAGACUCGGUGAAAUUGUAGUACCAGUGAAGAUGCUGGUUACCCGCGACAGGACGGAAAGACCCCAUGGAGCUUUACUGCAGGUUGAUAUUGAGUGUCUGUGUGACAUGUACAGGAUAGGUAGGAGCCAUUGAAGCCGGAACGCUAGUUUCGGUGGAGGCGCUGGUGGGAUACUACCCUUGUGACAUGGCCACUCUAACCCGCGACCGUAAUCCGGUCGGGAGACAGUGUCAGUCGGGCAGUUUGACUGGGGCGGUCGCCUCCUAAAAUGUAACGGAGGC